This 74-nucleotide transfer RNA is filed under the name Alligator sinensis (Chinese alligator). It matches the Rfam family "tRNA". From Rfam's summary of the family: Transfer RNA (tRNA) molecules are approximately 80 nucleotides in length. Their secondary structure includes four short double-helical elements and three loops (D, anti-codon, and T loops). The record is from Rfam by way of RNAcentral. Lineage: Eukaryota; Metazoa; Chordata; Crocodylia; Alligatoridae.
AACAAGGUGGCUGAGUGGUGAAGGCAAUGAUCUGCUAAUCCAUUGUUCAUGGGGUUUGUACCUCAUCCUUGUUG